UUCUCUUUCUUCUGUUCGAAAUUCCAUUUUAUUUUCUCUUUCUCUCGCUCUUGAACCUAGAAAUCGAAGCCUUUUAAGAAAAGUAAAAUCUUUCAUUCUUUGAUUCGUCUAUGGAAAGCAAAAAAACAAAAAAGAAAGUGAUUUUGAAGAAGAGGAAAGAGCAAAGCUUUGAUUUUGAAUUUGCUCAAGGGGAGAAGAGAAGUUGGUCUCUUGUGCUCUUCCGUCAAAGCUUUGAUCUGAGUUAGUGCAGAUUCGGUUUGGAUUAGAUUGUGAAGGAAACAUAGUACUAUGAUGUGCUCGGCGUUACAGAGUCUGAGAUCAAGAAAGCUUACUACAUCAAGAGAGGAGAUUAAACGGAGAGGACUAAUAAGGAAGAGUCUGAUGUUGAUGAGAAAAAUGUGUUUCGUUUACCGGACUUUGAAGAUGAGAUCAAGAAGUCAGAUUUAUUGGUGCGGAUGAUGAAUGUGAAACGCCGAAGUCAGAUUAUUUAUUGUAAAACGCCGAAGUCAGAUUAUUUAUGUUUACAAUGUUAUAUCCGGCUAACAAGCGAUUCCUUAGAGAGCUAAUUUUAUGUUUAACCGUACACAAAUUUAAUUAUAUGUGAAGUUAUUGGUUAUAGAGUUAAUUUUA
Long non-coding RNA from Brassica oleracea var. oleracea, 630 nucleotides. RefSeq lists it as uncharacterized. NCBI's taxonomy places the organism in Eukaryota, Viridiplantae, Streptophyta, Magnoliopsida, Brassicales, Brassicaceae. The record is from RefSeq and is a predicted model, not a curated record. The transcript has 2 exons.